RNAcentral lists this ribosomal RNA (195 nucleotides) under Bacillus sp. 5mfcol3.1. RNAcentral's name for it is "16S rRNA. Bacterial SSU". It matches the Rfam family "Bacterial small subunit ribosomal RNA", at positions 1 to 188 of the family's 1533-position model. The record is from RNAcentral. Lineage: Bacteria; Bacillati; Bacillota; Bacilli; Caryophanales; Bacillaceae.
CUUUAUUGGAGAGUUUGAUCCUGGCUCAGGAUGAACGCUGGCGGCGUGCCUAAUACAUGCAAGUCGAGCGAAUGGAUUGAGAGCUUACUCUCAAGAAGUUAGCGGCGGACGGGUGAGUAACACGUGGGUAACCUGCCCAUAAGACUGGGAUAACUCCGGGAAACCGGGGCUAAUACCGGAUAACAUUUUGAACCG